RNAcentral lists this transfer RNA (88 nucleotides) under Deltaproteobacteria bacterium. Its description in RNAcentral is "tRNA-Leu". It matches the Rfam family "tRNA". From Rfam's summary of the family: Transfer RNA (tRNA) molecules are approximately 80 nucleotides in length. Their secondary structure includes four short double-helical elements and three loops (D, anti-codon, and T loops). The record is from RNAcentral. RNAcentral also lists the same sequence under 2 other names. Lineage: Bacteria; Pseudomonadati; Myxococcota; Myxococcia.
GCCUGGAUGGUGGAAUAGGUAGACACCCGAGACUUAAAAUCUCGUGAGCCUUGCGCUCGUGCGAGUUCGAUUCUCGCUCCAGGCACCA